Peptococcaceae bacterium BRH_c8a is the source of this 155-nucleotide non-coding RNA. NCBI's taxonomy places the organism in Bacteria, Bacillati, Bacillota, Clostridia, Eubacteriales, Peptococcaceae. The record is from Rfam.
UAUAAUAUGUUUUACCCGCCGUAGACAGUUUGGUGCCCCUUUAGGGCUUAAUGGCCAGUCAGCCGCCAGCCGAGGCCGGAGUAUUGACCCCAAAGCGUUUGCUUUACGGGCCUCUGGCAUGCUGUUCUCGCGCCGGAGGCUUUUUUGGUGCUUGG